This 253-nucleotide ribosomal RNA is filed under the name uncultured bacterium. Its description in RNAcentral is "partial 16S ribosomal RNA". It matches the Rfam family "Bacterial small subunit ribosomal RNA", at positions 524 to 776 of the family's 1533-position model. The record is from RNAcentral.
UACGUAGGUGGCAAGCGUUGUCCGGAUUUACUGGGCGUAAAGAGCGCGCAGGCGGUCGUUCAAGUCGCGUGUGAAAGCCCCCGGCUCAACUGGGGAGGGUCACGCGAUACUGAUCGACUGGAAGGCAGGAGAGGGUAGUGGAAUUCCCGGUGUAGUGGUGAAAUGCGUAGAUAUCUGGAGGAAUACCGGUGGCGAAGGCGGCAUCCUGGACCGGCAUUGACGCUGAGGAGCGAAAGCCAGGGGAGCAAACGGG